Molecule: non-coding RNA, 22 nt
Filed under: Arabidopsis thaliana (thale cress)
Lineage: Eukaryota; Viridiplantae; Streptophyta; Magnoliopsida; Brassicales; Brassicaceae
Source: RNAcentral
UGUGGUGGAUUCUUGUGAUCGC